GUGUCAGCAGCCGCGGUAAUACAGAGGGUGCAAGCGUUAAUCGGAAUUACUGGGCGUAAAGCGAGCGUAGGUGGCUUGAUAAGUCAGAUGUGAAAUCCCCGGGCUUAACCUGGGAACUGCAUCUGAUACUGUUGGGCUAGAGUAGGUGAGAGGGAGGUAGAAUUUCAGGUGUAGCGGUGAAAUGCGUAGAGAUCUGAAGGAAUACCGAUGGCGAAGGCAGCCUCCUGGCAUCAUACUGACACUGAGGUUCGAAAGCGUGGGUAGCAAAC
RNAcentral lists this ribosomal RNA (269 nucleotides) under uncultured prokaryote. RNAcentral's name for it is "partial 16S ribosomal RNA". It matches the Rfam family "Bacterial small subunit ribosomal RNA", at positions 505 to 773 of the family's 1533-position model. The record is from RNAcentral.